GCAAGUCGAGGGACAAAGCCACCUUCGGGUGGUGGAGACCGGCGAACGGGUGAGUAACACGUGAGGAACCUACCCGGUGCUUCGGGAUAACCGCGGGAAACCGUGGCUAAUACCGGAUGUUCCGCGCUGACCGCAUGGUUGGUGUGGGAAAGUUCAGGCGGCAUCGGACGGCCUCGCGGCGUAUCAGCUUGUUGGUGGGGUAACGGCCUACCAAGGCGACGAUCAGUAGCUGGUCUGAGAGGAUGAUC
This 248-nucleotide ribosomal RNA is filed under the name uncultured bacterium. Its description in RNAcentral is "partial 16S ribosomal RNA". It matches the Rfam family "Bacterial small subunit ribosomal RNA", at positions 57 to 305 of the family's 1533-position model. The record is from RNAcentral.